RNAcentral lists this ribosomal RNA (460 nucleotides) under uncultured bacterium. RNAcentral describes it as "partial 16S ribosomal RNA". It matches the Rfam family "Bacterial small subunit ribosomal RNA", at positions 338 to 795 of the family's 1533-position model. The record is from RNAcentral.
CCUACGGGUGGCAGCAGUGAGGAAUAUUGGUCAAUGGGCGCGAGUCUGAACCAGCCAAGUAGCGUGAAGGAUGACUGCCCUAUGGGUUGUAAACUUCUUUUAUAAAGGAAUAAAACGAGGCACGUGUUCCUUUUUGCAUGUACUUUAUGAAUAAGGAUCGGCUAACUCCGUGCCAGCACCCGCGGUAAUACGGAGGAUCCGAGCGUUUGCAGGAUUUAUUGGGUUUAAGGGGAGCGUAGAUGGGUUGUUAAGUCAGUGGUGAAAGUUUGCGGCUCAACCGGAAAAUUGCAAUUGAGACUGGCAGUCUUGAGUACAGGUGAGGUAGGCGGAAUUCGUGGUGUAGCGGUGAAAUGCUUAGAUAUCACGAAGAACCCCGAUUGCGAAGGCAGCUUACUAAACUGUGACUGACAUUGAGGCGCGAAAGUGUGGGUAGCAAACAGGAUUAGAUACCCCUGUAGUC